This 1207-nucleotide ribosomal RNA is filed under the name Bacteroides fragilis str. 3998T(B)3. Its description in RNAcentral is "bacterial SSU rRNA". It matches the Rfam family "Bacterial small subunit ribosomal RNA", at positions 8 to 1209 of the family's 1533-position model. Lineage: Bacteria; Pseudomonadati; Bacteroidota; Bacteroidia; Bacteroidales; Bacteroidaceae. The record is from RNAcentral.
AGAGUUUGAUCCUGGCUCAGGAUGAACGCUAGCUACAGGCUUAACACAUGCAAGUCGAGGGGCAUCAGGAAGAAAGCUUGCUUUCUUUGCUGGCGACCGGCGCACGGGUGAGUAACACGUAUCCAACCUGCCCUUUACUCGGGGAUAGCCUUUCGAAAGAAAGAUUAAUACCCGAUAGCAUAAUGAUUCCGCAUGGUUUCAUUAUUAAAGGAUUCCGGUAAAGGAUGGGGAUGCGUUCCAUUAGGUUGUUGGUGAGGUAACGGCCCACCAAGCCUUCGAUGGAUAGGGGUUCUGAGAGGAAGGUCCCCCACAUUGGAACUGAGACACGGUCCAAACUCCUACGGGAGGCAGCAGUGAGGAAUAUUGGUCAAUGGGCGUUAGCCUGAACCAGCCAAGUAGCGUGAAGGAUGAAGGCUCUAUGGGUCGUAAACUUCUUUUAUAUAAGAAUAAAGUGCAGUAUGUAUACUGUUUUGUAUGUAUUAUAUGAAUAAGGAUCGGCUAACUCCGUGCCAGCAGCCGCGGUAAUACGGAGGAUCCGAGCGUUAUCCGGAUUUAUUGGGUUUAAAGGGAGCGUAGGUGGACUGGUAAGUCAGUUGUGAAAGUUUGCGGCUCAACCGUAAAAUUGCAGUUGAUACUGUCAGUCUUGAGUACAGUAGAGGUGGGCGGAAUUCGUGGUGUAGCGGUGAAAUGCUUAGAUAUCACGAAGAACUCCGAUUGCGAAGGCAGCUCACUGGACUGCAACUGACACUGAUGCUCGAAAGUGUGGGUAUCAAACAGGAUUAGAUACCCUGGUAGUCCACACAGUAAACGAUGAAUACUCGCUGUUUGCGAUAUACAGUAAGCGGCCAAGCGAAAGCAUUAAGUAUUCCACCUGGGGAGUACGCCGGCAACGGUGAAACUCAAAGGAAUUGACGGGGGCCCGCACAAGCGGAGGAACAUGUGGUUUAAUUCGAUGAUACGCGAGGAACCUUACCCGGGCUUAAAUUGCAGUGGAAUGAUGUGGAAACAUGUCAGUGAGCAAUCACCACUGUGAAGGUGCUGCAUGGUUGUCGUCAGCUCGUGCCGUGAGGUGUCGGCUUAAGUGCCAUAACGAGCGCAACCCUUAUCUUUAGUUACUAACAGGUUAUGCUGAGGACUCUGGAGAGACUGCCGUCGUAAGAUGUGAGGAAGGUGGGGAUGACGUCAAAUCAGCACGGCCCUUACGUCC